UUUGCGUUAAGGAUUGAUGUGGAAAUCCUUUUUGUGAGGCACGAGCAAAAAGAUUGUAACGGAAAGCCUGACGUACU
This 77-nucleotide small RNA is filed under the name Olleya sp. Hel_I_94. Its description in RNAcentral is "Flavo-1 RNA". It matches the Rfam family "Flavo-1 RNA". Lineage: Bacteria; Pseudomonadati; Bacteroidota; Flavobacteriia; Flavobacteriales; Flavobacteriaceae. The record is from RNAcentral.